Molecule: long non-coding RNA, 6460 nt
Filed under: Capsella rubella
Lineage: Eukaryota; Viridiplantae; Streptophyta; Magnoliopsida; Brassicales; Brassicaceae
Description: long non-coding RNA (CRUB_LNC003399)
Source: RNAcentral
AACAACAGAGGAGGAGAGGAAAAGUCUACAAAAAUUGGAAACUCAAGAGUCGUCGUAGAUAUACUUAAAAGUAUCAGUUGAUUCAUUUGUCACAUCUUCUUUUUUUUCGUUUUUCUUUUUGGGGUUUGUUUAUACAGAAUUUAGUCCAAUUUAGAAACGAUAAAUGAAGUUUAUUUGAAAUAAAUUGGCUGCAAUGCUUUUUUCUUUACUCAUUUUGAGUGUUUGCAUUUUAGUAUGUUUAUAUUACAGGAUCCAUUACUAGCUAUAUGGUGGUCUAUGUGAUAGGAAAGUGAGACUGAAUUUUGGAACAUAAAUAGGAAAAUAUCUACCGAUUUGAGGUUCGUUUAGAAAAUGAAAGGGUUUUGAGUGAAUCUUUUUUUUUGUCGGCUGGGUUUUGAGUGAAUCUUGAGUAGCUUUUUUCAUUAGUUUAUGGCUUAGAAGAUGAACUUACUUCACUCACUUUUCCUUCAGAAUUGCUUCUUGGUAAGAAACUGUUCAUAUCCCAUCUGGUGGGAUAGAGUAUUUAAGAACACUUAACCUGACACAACACUUAUGAUCAAAUUAGCCAUGGUUUGUAUCCGAUCUCCCAAGUUCUUUAGCUUCAUCCGCGGAAUGUGUUGUCUGCGACUCAGCAAUAUUUUUCUGCCUUUUUUUUUCUUCUUAUGGGAUCCAUAUUAUGUCUAAUUUUGAAGUCGGAGAAAUACACAACUUCAUCAUAAUGGUUUAAAGGAUAUCAGAAAAAUGCAAAAAUAAUUUACAGCCAACCAUCAAAGAUGAUCAUCCUAUCUCAACAUAUAAUAUCGUCAGAAAUAAAAAAACAGAGUAAAACUGCUAACUUUACUCCUUUGUACGACCUUUGGUUGGAGGAGAGGGUUUAUCUGUAGCCACUUUAAACUGUCCCAUCUUCUUCUGCAGAUCAGCUAGAGGGUCUUUUGAAAUCUUUCCCUUGGGACUCUUCUUUCCAUUUCCUACUUUAAGCUCUAGGCGAUAUAACGCACAUGCGUCAGAUUCAUUGAUUUGGUAUUCAAAGAGAUGCCACUCGAAGGGACCUGGAGGUUGUGGAUCCAUAUAGUAAGAUCUCUUCUGGCCUUCUUGUUCCUUCAUCAGUUGUUUUCUUGAUUCAUGCCAACCUCGUCCGCUGUAAUCUGGAAGUGAUCUUUGCUUUCGGUUUCCGCUAUCAUAUGCCCUUCUAGGUUUGUCAAAGAAGAGCCACUCUCUAAUCGUUUCGCCUUCAACUAGUUCAAGAUGAAACAGCUCUGCAAGUACAACAAAAAGGGUCAGGCAAAAAUAAGAAACUCACAUAUGGCUUCUGAGUUUUCAAAGAGGUAAUGAAAUGUUGAACUAAAACAAUGAAAUUCGGCUCUAGUGAGCCAAUGUUCCUAUGUCCUCACCUGCUGCAUUCCAUGGGCAUUUUGUGUUAACAGCUCCUUCACACACAGGGAUGCCAACAUUCUUACCCUGAGUCUUUCCACGAAGAGCUUCAAUCAAUAAAUUAUCUUUCAAACUGAUUCCCCCCGGCCUUAAGACAGGUGCUGUGCCAGGUGAAUCUUCAUUCAGAGCUAGAGUCGCAUGGUAGUUACUGCAGUAAUCCACGUACCACUCUGAUCCCUGAGCAGGCCUUGUGCAAUCCCACAGUGCACACUUGGGUCCGAGAAAGGCAGAUGGAGGCACACGGACACUUGAUGGAGUAGUAAAUUCAGUAAAGUUUUCAAUCUCUUCAGAAGAAUCAAGCUUAAUGGAAGGGCUGUUAUUGAGUUCCUGACGCACUUCUGAGCAGAUAUAAUCAUACUGAGAAGUUAUAUCCAAGUUGCUGAGUUUUUGGUCAUGGAAACCAGGGGCUGUGUUUAUGCUUGAAUCAAACCCUUCAUAUGCAUAAUGGAGUUGCUGACCAUGUGUUUCCGUGUUGUUACCAGCAUCCUGAGAUAGGAAAGAUGAAUUUGUGCAUAAGAACAAUUUUAAAAUUAAGACAAGAAUGAAAAAUAUCAAAAUUUAUAGAUGAAUUGGAAUAUAGAAUCAAUUGUGUUGCAAAUGUCCAGGAAAAUCAAACCAACAAUCCAAAACCAAGAGACAAUAAUGACAACUUGAACGCAGAAACUGUAGCUAGCUAACCUCAACACCACAGGAGAAAUUUCCGUUGAAUGGACUUUGACUAAAAUGUUCAGAUGUCCAUUCUGGAGGGCACAAGCUUUGAGCGAAACCCUCAGACUCAGGCUUUGGUGCAGCAUGUUCCUUUAAUGAACUAGUUGCAUCAUCCUCUUCGUCUAAUUUCAACAAAGGAGCAAACUCAGCAAAUUCCUCAAGGAAUUGGCUAAUACCUUCACCCUGCACAUGUUAAAAACCAAAAGAGCUAAAUCUCCACCGACAAAUCACAAUUAAACAAAAAAACUGCAAUUUUUUAAUCAAACGAGGCUAAUCUCUCAUCACAUACAGAAACAGAAAGCAACCAAGCUUACAGGUUCAGAAUAAUUUCAAGGACUUAAAAAACAAUAAACCAGCGAGAAGUGCAAGUUGUUGGUAAUGCAGUACGAACCAGAAGAGAAGACUCUGGAGAAGGAGCAGUGAGUUCAGCUUGCCACUCACAAAGAUUUUGAGAGAUUUGGGCUUCCAAAAGUGCAAGGUCACCAUGCCGCCCUUCUUUCCUAGCAGCCUGAAGAUGACAGAACCUCUCCUGUAGUUCCCUUAGUUUCUCCUCCAAAUUCUGAUGAGCCGAAGACACGCAUGUCAUCUUCGGAUUGUUUGACAUCUCCUAGACUGAUCAAACCCAUUCAACAAUCAACUAAAACCUAACCACGUACUACCUAAAUUCCAAUUCUCAAGAGGAAGGAACCAAACACAUUACCUCAAAAAUCAAAGCAAGGAAACCGAGUAUUCCAGGAAAUCAAAAGUCGGAUAAGAUUAUAGAAAUCGGCGCUUGGUCUCUCCUUCCUCCGUUUCUAGCUACUUAAUCAACAAAACCAAAACUGAUAAGUUAAUCGGAGGUGUCAGAUAGAGUUCACAACAACAACAAAGCAAAUACCAAUCCAACCUAAAUCAACUAAGAUCUUAAAACUUUAUGAUCUCAACUAAGGAGUAAAAGGAUGAUCCAGGCUCCACCAUAGAUUUAAAAUUAACCAUCAAGAGUUGUGUGCACCAUACUUUUGUAAUCGCAUUAGAGAGAGAGCAAACUUCAAAAUCCUAAGCAGAAACUAUCAAUUCGGAUAUUCCAAACUUCAAUUCCUUAAACCAACUUGCUUAAACAUGUAAACGAAAAAUAGAACCCAGGAGGUAAGAAAAACUCAAAAGCCUGGGAUGAUUCAAGGAUUAGAUCAAAAUCACAAUUCUAUGACAGAGCAAAAUAACAAAAACCACGAAUGAAUAGAGGAAAGCCUAAAUUAAAACUUACUUCCGGAAGAAUGCGAUUCUUCUGUAGAAGCUUAUCGCGAUGAAGAAGAAGAAGAAGAAGAAGAAGAAGAAGAAGAAGAAGAAGAAGAAGGCAAAGGGGUUACAGCGAAGAAGAGCAAUGGAAGGAUUCAUCAAAGGACGACGAUUGCGACGCUUUUGGUUUUCUCCUUUUCCUUAAACGCUGCGUUUAAUUAAAGUGAGGAUUUCUUUUGCUUUUUUUUUUUUUUUUUUCUCUCGGCUUCUUAAGGGUCUAUUGUGAUUUUUCCAAAAACAAAUUCAAAGCUUCUAAAACUUACAUAUUCAAUAGAUAUGAAUUAAUAACUAUAUGAUUUUAUUUUGGGGGAAUUUCAAAAAUACCCCUUUUCAUAUACCUUUUUUAAAAAUACCCCAUUUUCAAACUUUAUCAAAAAACCCAAUAAAAAUGCUGAAAUUUAUCCAAAUAUGUGUGUAAGCUUAUAAAUAUAUACACAAAUUACCUUUAUAUGUGUAUAAAACUUUAUAUACCUUUCAUAAAUACCGUAAAAAUAAAUUAUAAAAACCUUAUAAAAACCGUAUAAACCCUUUUAAAAACCUUUUUAAAACCUUAUAAAACUUAUAAAAACGAUUUAAAACUAUUUAAAACAUUUUAAAAUAUUUGUAUCGAAUCUCCCAGUAGUAGUUAUUAUAUAGAAGUAUCUUAUAAACUAUAUAAAACUUUAUAAUUUUUUAUAUUUAAAAAGGGGUAUUUUUGAAAAUGGAUAGAUAAAGGGGGUAUUUUUAAAAAGUGAUACACCAAAAGGGGUAUUUCUCAAAAAUUCUCUUUUAUUUUUCUAAUUCUUAAAUUUGCAAAAUUAUUGGAGAAAAACUAUAAUAGAGUCUUCCAAUUCUUGCUGGAUGAGACAAAGCUAUGUCUAUGUCUAUGUAAUUCAAAUUUAACACAUAAAAUCGAAAAAAUUUGUUCUGAAUUAAUCCAAAAACAGAAAAAGACCUAAUCAAUACUAAAAUUGAUUCAAUUAACCAUACUAGAACUGUGAGACAUACGACGAUUAUGCUUGACGAAACAAUGAAAAUAAAUCAUGGACUAGCUAAAAAAGCUGUCUUAGAGAUUGUGUUUAUCAUAUAAAAAGUAUUCAACAUAAGUUUUUUUUUUUUUGGGGUUUGAGUUAUUUAUCCACCAAUUUGUUAACGUUUUUAUGAUUUGGAUUGCUGAUUAUAUCUCUCUUCUUUUUUUUCUAUUUCAUCAAGCUGUUCUACUUCUUACACUUGAUACACAUAUUAAACUGUCGGCAUGGAAUUAGUUUAGUUUCAUUUGUACUUAACUAAAGAUUUGAGCUGCAAUAACUCCAAGGUCUAUGUCCUUGAUGCAGCAUACACAAGCCUUGUUUCUUUCCUUAACAGUUUCUACUCAAUGUCAAAAUCAAUUACUAGUAAUUUUCCUUUCUUUUAGUCCACCAUCACUAUUCACUGCAAUCUAUGCUAAGAUACGUUCAUGUACCCAACAUAGAUGUACAUAUAUCUAUUAUAUAUGUAAAUGUAUGCGUGUGUUUAUUAUAUAUGUACUGUAUGUGCAAAAUAUAUAAUGAAGAGAUUUGUGUGGAGCCAAGAUGGAAUAUGAUGAAAAUGAAAUGGCAAGUCUCCUGCAAAGAUAUUGACACAAAAGAUUAAUGCAACACAGAGUUCCCAUACCACAAUAACAUUGGUCUCAAGUAACUUCCAAUUAUAGUAACAAGCAGACACAUUGCAGGCAUGAGCAUCAUGAGUUAGUAGCCCUCUAUUCAAUUCCUCUCUCUCUCUCUCUCUCCCUCUUAAUCAUGAAACUACCUCUUUGUCUCUUCCUUUUUCUCUUAUGUAUUUCUUUAUUAUUUCACCACUCAUCAAAUCUAAUCGAACAUAGCCUAGCUAUAGCUAUACUCAUUAUUCUCCAAUAUAUCUGACCAAACAUGUAACAGACUUAAACCCUAAUAAAUGAUCAUCCGUACAUAUGCACCUCUCUCUCAAGCAAGGAUUAAUAAAGCACCUUCUUCUCCUUUGUCUCCCUUUGACUCUAUAUAUAUAUAUAUAUAACACAGUAACUCCUCCUUAUAGGUAUUCUUCCUUAGAUCCUCAGCAAAACCAAACUCAAGUAUCUCUCUAUAUCUACGGUUUUCCUCAUCCUCCACUCUUUAUUCUUUCUCACUUAUGAAGUAGUUCAUACACACCAUUAUCAUACAUGACACGUUUCUUUAUAUUAUGCAGGGGAGUAUAUAUCACCAUCUGUUAGAGAAUAUGAAGAGAACACAUUUGACAAGUUUCAGCAACAGAAGCACAGCCCAAGAAGAAGAAGAAGAAGGCACUGAUGGUGACAACAGAGUCAUCAUGAAUCACUACAAGAAUUAUGAAGCUGGGCUGAUCCCAUGGCCUCCCAAGAACUACACUUGCAGCUUCUGCAGGAGAGAGUUUAGAUCUGCUCAAGCACUUGGAGGCCACAUGAAUGUCCAUAGAAGAGACAGGGCAAAACUCAGACAGAUCCCUUCUUGGCUCUUCGAACCUCACCACCACAUACCUAUUGCAAACCCUAACCCUAAUUUUAGCUCUUCAACAACACCAGCUCAUCUUGAGCCUCCCCUAACCAACCAGAGAUCCAAAACAACUCCUUUUCCUUCUGCCAGGUCUGAUCUCUUGGACAGUACUACUAGCUAUGGAGGUUUGAUGGUGGACAGAGAGAAGAAAAAGAGCAAUGUAUGUAGCAGAGAGCUCAAGAAGGGUGUCAUCGAUGCAUGUCAUUCCGUAAGAUGUGAGAUUAGCCGUGGGGAUCUGAUGAAUCAGAGAGAUGAUCAUGUCAUGGGGUUGGAGCUUGGGAUGAGUUUGAGGAAUCCCAAACAAGUUCUUGAUUUGGAACUUCGACUUGGCUACCUUUAGAUUCAUUUGAUUAGUUCAAAAUUACAUGCAUGUAUAGCUGAGCAGUGAGCAAGAGAUUGUGAUUGUGAUUGCAUUCAUGCUAAUGGUAUUAAUAUAUAGUAUUAAUUAGGCUUUAAUGGAAGUCAAAAGAAAUUAAAACAAAUCAAAGUUGAAAAAAGCCUCAAAUUUAUUUAUAUAGGUCGCAUGACCUUUAAUCAAAAAA